Patella vulgata (common limpet) is the source of this 726-nucleotide long non-coding RNA. RefSeq lists it as uncharacterized. NCBI's taxonomy places the organism in Eukaryota, Metazoa, Mollusca, Gastropoda, Patellidae. The transcript has 3 exons. The record is from RefSeq and is a predicted model, not a curated record.
AGCAUCAACAAUUCGGUAUAUACAAAUGUGGGAGCUAAAUUGAGUAUCUAUUUUGCUGAGUAUGCGGCAUGUUUGAUGGGAAACCAUAGCUACGAUGUACCAGAGUAUUGGCUAAAUGUAGCCGAUAAACUCUACCUCCCUUUUAACGCAGAGAAAAAAUAUCAUCCAGAAUUUGAAGGUUAUGAAGAUUGGACAGAUGAACGUGGUGUGAAGCAAGCUGAUACGAUCAUGUUAGGAUAUCCCCAGAUGUGGCCAGUAGAUAAAGAAGUUAGACGAAAUGAUCUGAUUCAUUAUGAAAAGGUGACCAAUCCAAUGGGACCAGCUAUGACGUGGGGUAUGUUCUCUAUCGGUUGGUUAGAGUUAGGCGAUGAACAUAAAGCCCAUGAAUUGUUCCAUAGAAGUUAUUCACCUUAUGUACGAGAACCGUUCAAAAUUUGGACAGAAGCUCGUUCUGGAAUUGGUGCUGUUAACUUUAUAACCGGAAUGGGAGGAUUCCUUCAAGCAGUGUAUUUUGGCUAUGGUGGUGCCAGGAUUUAUACAGAACACAUGGAAUUCAACCCAAGGCUUCCGCCAGGAAAUACAGCGCUCAAGUUUUUAGGAAUGAAUUAUCUGAAAAAUUCUCUAGACAUAGAAAUUUACGAGAAAAAAAUGCUUAUAAUUUUAAGAAAAACUGCUGUCGAAAACCAGCUAUUUGUCCAAAUUCACAGCAGUGGUGCUGAAAUUAUC